ACUGAUAGAUCCAAUAUAAUUAUGGAUUUACAUAUGAUGUAAAGAAAUAAUUAAAACCUAAGAAGACCUAAAUUAAAUCUUCUUAUAAAAUAUUAAGUCGAGUGGUCUUCCACUAUUAUAAAUGUGCAGGCCCUUUUGGAUGUUCUCAACUGGUCAUAGUGGUUCAGUUGCAUCAAGAAAGAUGCAACCACUCUAUAGUAUGAGAUGCUCCUUUACAGAGAUGGGGUUGGG
This 231-nucleotide long non-coding RNA is filed under the name Elaeis guineensis (African oil palm). Its description in RNAcentral is "long non-coding RNA (EGUI_LNC037513)". Lineage: Eukaryota; Viridiplantae; Streptophyta; Magnoliopsida; Arecales; Arecaceae. The record is from RNAcentral.